GCCGGGGCGUCCCCCGCGGGAGCCCGCAGCCACCCGGGACGCGCAUCCAGACGUGGCGCUUCGGACCGGGCACGCUGCGCCCGGGGGCUCGGCGGACCCCGCGUAGCCGCCGCUUCGGAGCUUGUGCGGCGCGGGCUGGCCAGCGGGGCGGCCAGGGCCCGGCCCGCCUCCCCAGCGCCCGCCCGGCUUCUCCCCCUGGCGGUGGGAGCCUCGGCGGCCGCUGGCGACACUAGGCGCACUGAAGCCCGAGCCGAGCCGAGCCCGAGCCGCCGCCGCCGCCGCCGCUGCUGCGCACCGCUCCCGGGCUCCCUCCCAGCGCGCCGGCCGGGGUGUGGGGGGCGGCGGGCCGGAGGGGCGAGGGCGGGCCAGGGGGCGCACACGGGGGUUGGCGCGGAAGACAGGACCCUCAGCCUCGAGGGAGCCCCUAGGUGACCAGGCAAAAUGGCAGUUCCUUCCAGCUGGUCCUCAGAUGGGCACAUCUAUUAGCCUCUGCUCUUGUAAGAAGUUAGCUGCAGAACCCACAUGUGAAUCCUUGUAGGACUCUGGAGAAGAUCAAAUGGGAGCUUAGAUGUGGAAGCUCUUUGGAAACCAAGAAACACUCUGAAAAUGAAAAGGAUACCAACUUCAUCUCUCUUUAAGAAUACAAUAUUAGUUUAAAAGAUUGUUCAACUUAAAGCAAUCUUGUAGAGAUUGUCACCCAUGAUUGAUGCUGGCAUAAGAAUGUUUAUCACAGCAUGGCAUAUAUUGGAAGUUUAGUAAAUGAAGAUACAUCCAAUCUGACAUUCUAUUCACAACCACAAAGAGAUAAUGUAGAAACAUAUUUAGUAAUGUGAGAAAAUACUAAAUAUUAAGUGAAAAAGGUGGAAGAGUAAACUGUUCCUGUUUCUCCAUCUUGACAGGAAGCAGAAGUUCUCCUUAGCUGAUUUUUCUUCUUGCCUUAUACUGGGUUCUUUAACACCAGAACAAAAAUAAAUAAAUAAAAGAAUCUUCCAGAAAUUCAUGAAGAGACUUCAGGUCAGGAAAGCCUGAACUUUCUCAUCCAACACCCGUUCAAGUCGGAGGAUGCUGAUUAAUUCAUGAUGGAAAGGUAUCAAUUUCACAGCCCAGACCUCUACAUUCUUGAAAUGCUCUUCUCAUGGGAGACAUUAAAUAAGCUUUGAAUUAACUAAUAUGGACAUCUUGGGUUGUUGUGAGAAUGGAGUUACCAAAGUUAUAAUCAGUUAAACACUAAGCAAAGUGUUAUGGCAAAGUGUAGUCAAGUGCAUUUCCUGUCAGAUGGUCAACACCUUAAGUGCUUGAGGUUGAAGAGAAUUGUUUUCAUCUCUGUUGAUAGGAAGAACCAAUGAUGUGAUCCCUGGAUACUGGCAAUUGUUGCCCAAGAAAACCUCUCCCCUUGCUGUGGGACUGCUGGGCACCCAAAUAAUGCACCCAAAUAAUUUGAUAGCUCUUGUUACACAGCUCUUCUUGGACUAAAAGGCCCUCAGCAUUCCUGUCAAUUUCUACACUCCUGAAGCUUCAUCUGGAGACCUCUGUGGAUUCUAUAACUCAAAGACCCAGGCUGACGGCUGGUGGAAUAGCUACCAUCUCAAACAUGGCGUGAUGCUGCAUCAGAGAGAAAAAUAAGCUCUUGCAUUGACAAUGAAAUGUCUACCCUGUAGUGACUUGUGCUUACUUCCACUCACAAGUGAUUGCCCAGAGCUACUUACCUGGCUCCAAUCUACCACUGGGUGUGUACUUGCAAUCUACCAUGUACCUAGAAGAUGAGAGAAACAAAUUAUUAAUGAUGACCACACCCCAAUACUAACAACAAUUGCAGAAGAAUCAAUGACUUAAACAAAAAUGUGGCCAUUGAAGGAAUAGAAAAUAUAGUGAGUUUAGUGUAAAUUUAAAAGUGAUUUAUAAGUAACAUACAAAAUCCAGAAACUAUAAGAAAACAGAUUCACAAAUAUAAAUAUAUAAAGCUUUAAAAAAGUUUAAUGUAACAAAAAUGGCAUAAAAGGAGUCAAAAGUUUUUAAAAAAUAUGUUAAUGCAGUAGAUUAGGUGCUAAUUUUCUUAAUAUACUAAUAACUCAAUAAGAGAAAUUUUGUAUCUAGAAGAAAAUGAACAUGGAAAUAGGCAAUUCACAGAUAAUGGCAUUCAUCUGGCGAAUAAAAAAAUGUGUGACAUUCAGAAUAAAAUAAAAAUGAAAUACUGGUUUUCAGCCAUCACUUGAGCAAAACUGCAAAGAUACAAUGAGACUCAGGCAUUCCCAUAUACUGUGGAUGGGAG
This 2269-nucleotide long non-coding RNA is filed under the name Homo sapiens (human). RNAcentral describes it as "PREDICTED lncRNA (TCONS_00182834)". Lineage: Eukaryota; Metazoa; Chordata; Mammalia; Primates; Hominidae. The record is from RNAcentral.